RNAcentral lists this long non-coding RNA (370 nucleotides) under Elaeis guineensis (African oil palm). RNAcentral describes it as "long non-coding RNA (EGUI_LNC052858)". Lineage: Eukaryota; Viridiplantae; Streptophyta; Magnoliopsida; Arecales; Arecaceae. The record is from RNAcentral.
AAAGUUAAACUCAUCUACCUUGACUAAGACAUCCUCAAGCAUUCCACGUGGUUCCUUAAUUGAUCUGUCAGCUAACUGCAAUGUGACUGAUGUGGGUUUCAGUUCUCUGAAUCCAAAAAGUUCAUACACCGAACUAGGUAAAAGAUUCACACUUGCCCCUAAGUCAAGAAGAGCUUUUUCAAUGUGAUAAUCUCCUAUAACACAGGAAAUGAUGGGGGCUCCUGGGUCCUUAAGCUUUGGAGGAGUGGCAUGCUGGAAGACAGAACUAGCCUGUUCAGUGAGGCAUACUUUCUUUGGGAUUUGUGAUCUAGAUUUACAUUUUUGGGUGCACAAAUCUUUUAAAAAUUUGGCAUAAGCAGGGACCUGUUUG